This 497-nucleotide ribosomal RNA is filed under the name uncultured bacterium. Its description in RNAcentral is "partial 16S ribosomal RNA". It matches the Rfam family "Bacterial small subunit ribosomal RNA", at positions 28 to 507 of the family's 1533-position model. The record is from RNAcentral.
GACGAACGCUGGCGGCGUGCCUAAUACAUGCAAGUUGAGCGAUGAAGAUUGGUGCUUGCACCAAUUUGAAGAGCAGCGAACGGGUGAGUAACGCGUGGGGAAUCUGCCUUUGAGCGGGGGACAACAUUUGGAAACGAAUGCUAAUACCGCAUAACAACUUUAAACAUAAGUUUUAAGUUUGAAAGAUGCAAUUGCAUCACUCAAAGAUGAUCCCGCGUUGUAUUAGCUAGUUGGUGAGGUAAAGGCUCACCAAGGCGAUGAUACAUAGCCGACCUGAGAGGGUGAUCGGCCACAUUGGGACUGAGACACGGCCCAAACUCCUACGGGAGGCAGCAGUAGGGAAUCUUCGGCAAUGGACGAAAGUCUGACCGAGCAACGCCGCGUGAGUGAAGAAGGUUUUCGGACCGUAAAACUCUGUUGGUAGAGAAGAACGUUGGUGAGAGUGGAAAGCUCAUCAAGUGACGGUAACUACCCAGAAAGGGACGGCUAACUACGUG